CAAUAGCGUAUAUUAAAGUUGUUGCAGUUAAAAAGCUCGUAGUUGGACUCGUGGUGGUCUUUGGGGUCCGAUUUCGGUACUCCCGGGGACUGCCAUCUUUGGGUGGAUCCUGUGUGGCAUUAGGUUGUCGUGCAGGGGAUGCCCAUCGUUUACUGUGAAAAAAUUAGAGUGUUCAAAGCAGGCUUAUGCCGUUGAAUAUAUUAGCAUGGAAUAAUGAGAUAGGACCUUGGUACUAUUUUGUUGGUUUGCGCACCGAGGUAAUGAUUAAUAGGGACAGUUGUGGGUAUUCGUAUUCCAUUGUCAGAGGUGAAAUUCUUGGAUUUCUGGAAGACGAACUAAUGCGAAAGCAUUUACCAAGGAUGUUUUCAUUAA
Molecule: ribosomal RNA, 372 nt
Filed under: uncultured eukaryote
Lineage: Eukaryota
Description: partial 18S ribosomal RNA
Rfam family: Eukaryotic small subunit ribosomal RNA
Source: RNAcentral